ACGGAGGAUCCGAGCGUUAUCCGGAUUUAUUGGGUUUAAAGGGAGCGUAGGCGGGCGCUUAAGUCAGUUGUGAAAGUUUGCGGCUCAACCGUAAAAUCGCAGUUGAUACUGGGCGCCUUGAGUACAGCAUAGGCAGGCGGAAUUCGUGGUGUAGCGGUGAAAUGCUUAGAUAUCACGAAGAACUCCGAUUGCGAAGGCAGCUUGCUGGAGUGUAACUGACGCUGAUGCUCGAAAGUGUGGGUAUCAAACAGGAUUAGAUACCCUGGUAGUCCACACAGUAAACGAUGAAUACUCGCUGUUUGCGAUAUAUUGUAAGCGGCCAAGCGAAAGCGUUAAGUAUUCCACCUGGGGAGUACGCCGGCAACGGUG
RNAcentral lists this ribosomal RNA (369 nucleotides) under uncultured bacterium. RNAcentral describes it as "bacterial SSU rRNA". It matches the Rfam family "Bacterial small subunit ribosomal RNA", at positions 525 to 896 of the family's 1533-position model. The record is from RNAcentral.